This 253-nucleotide ribosomal RNA is filed under the name uncultured prokaryote. RNAcentral's name for it is "partial 16S ribosomal RNA". It matches the Rfam family "Bacterial small subunit ribosomal RNA", at positions 524 to 776 of the family's 1533-position model. The record is from RNAcentral.
UACGAGGGGUGCAAGCGUUGCUCGGAAUCAUUGGGCGUAAAGGGCAAGUAGGUGGUCUUGUUUGUCUGUGGUGAAAGCCUUGGGCUUAACCCAAGAAGUGCCUCGGAAACGGCAAGACUAGAGUACUGGAGAGGGUCGCGGAAUUCCCGGUGUAGCGGUGAAAUGCGUAGAGAUCGGGAGGAACACCAGAGGCGAAAGCGGCGGCCUGGACAGGUACUGACACUCAACUGCGAAAGCGUGGGGAUCAAACAGG